Molecule: unclassified non-coding RNA, 341 nt
Filed under: soil metagenome
Description: partial contains 5.8S ribosomal RNA, internal transcribed spacer 2, and large subunit ribosomal RNA
Rfam family: 5.8S ribosomal RNA (bases 1-120)
Source: RNAcentral
GAUGAAGAACGUAGCGAAAUGCGAUAAGUAGUGUGAAUUGCAGAAUUCAGUGAAUCAUCGAAUCUUUGAACGCACAUUGCGCCCUUUGGUAUUCCAAAGGGCAUGCCUGUUCGAGCGUCAUUUGUACCCUCAAGCUUUGCUUGGUGUUGGCCGUCUUGUCUCUAGCUUUGCUGGAGACUCGCCUUAAAGUAAUUGGCAGCCGGCCUACUGGUUUCGGAGCGCAGCACAAGUCGCACUCUCUAUCAGCAAAGGUCUAGCAUCCAUUAAGCCUUUUUUUUCAACUUUUGACCUCGGAUCAGGUAGGGAUACCCGCUGAACUUAAGCAUAUCAAAAGCGGAGGA